Molecule: long non-coding RNA, 450 nt
Filed under: Lathyrus oleraceus (garden pea)
Lineage: Eukaryota; Viridiplantae; Streptophyta; Magnoliopsida; Fabales; Fabaceae
Description: Pisum sativum (pea) long non-coding RNA (PSAT_LNC022277)
Source: RNAcentral
UCACGUUGGAUUUCAGGUUUCAACCCACUCAGAAAGCAGUCAAGAGUAGCGUCAGGGUUGAGUCCGUCGGAGCGGUUGGCUAAAACGGUGAAACGGGUAUAAUAAUCGGCGACAGUGGUUGUUUGGUGUAGUUUGAAAAGGGUGGUUCGAGGAGAUUCAUAGGGUGAGGGACCAAACUCCCUUUCUAAAGCACGCGUGAACAUGGUCCAUGAUUGGAAAGGCGCGUUACGAGAAAUCAUCUGGAAUGGUACCACAUCCUUUUCCAUAUGCACGACGGCGAUAGUGAGGCGGUGGUUGUCCGGUGUGGCAUAAUAAUCAAAAAAUUGUUCCGCUCGAAAAAUCCAGUUCAUAACCUCAGAUCCGUCAAAUCGGGGGAAAUCCAACUUGAUAUUACGUACCUGAAACGGUUGAACGGUUGUUGUUUGUGAGUUUUUUCCACCGGAAGAGCUU